UACCAACUGAGUUGCAUUCGUAGUGAAAUU
RNAcentral lists this non-coding RNA (30 nucleotides) under Mus musculus (house mouse). Lineage: Eukaryota; Metazoa; Chordata; Mammalia; Rodentia; Muridae. The record is from RNAcentral.